GUUAUGCAUCUGACUCUUGAUUCCAACUCAGGUUGUGAUCUCACAGUUUGUGAGUUCAAGCCCUGCAUUGGGCUCUGCACUGUAUCAGCGCGGAGCCUGUUUAGAAGUCUCCCUCCCUCUGUCUCUGCUCCUACCCUGUGUGCUCUCUCUCUCUCAAAAUAAAUAAAUAAUCUUAAAAAAAUUAAACAUAGAGCAUUUUAACAUCAGAACACAAAUUAAGAACAAGAGACUCAUAUUUGAACCCAGAUGGGUUUGCAACCUGACUUUGCUCUUAGUAACUGGACUUACUUUAAGAAGUGAGCUAGUCAUUUGACUCUGUUUCUUCAUCUUAAACAUGGAUAUAAUAAUAGUCACUUUAUAGACUUAGUAGAAUAGUACCUAGUUUUUAUCUAAGAUAUAUUAACUGUUAUUAUUAUGAAUUGUAUCAAGUUUUCCUAAAGAGAUGACAUUUGAGAUUGGUUCUUAAAGGAAUCGUAACAAAUGGAAAUGUGAGUGAAGAGCAUUAUAAAUGACUGAACAACUUAUUUGAAGACCCAGAGAACUCAAAGAACGGGAGCCAGGGAGUGAUCUUUUGGAAAAGAGCAUACAACUGUGGAAAAAUGGGAUAAAUCAAGCCACCAUUCUUGCUGAGUUCUUACUUCACCAUAAAUUAGGCACCUGAAUUCUGCAGAUCUUGGAAAAUUCACAGUCCUAAUACACCCGUCAUCCACACAUUUGAAGAUGAGGAAACAAUUACUUUCAACAGGCAUAGAGACAGAAGCAGUAUCUACCAAGUAUAUGGAGAAGAGAAUCACCACCCCCCCCCAAAUCGGUCACCUCAAUCCUUCUGUAUCCUGCAAUAAAAUGGGGCACAAGCAAAUAAGAGCUUAUUUACUGCUGCAUAAAACUUUGGCUGAACAGUCAAGGAGAGGAAGUCUGCUUUCGAUUUCAACCAUCUGGAAACAUUACAUCUCAAAACUAAGAUCUUUCCAAUUUUCUUGUAGGAUAAGUAGCGUGUCUUCUCCUUAACUCUACACUCUGUAGACUAGAGCAGAUAUCAUAGAAAUAAUGAUCAUCAUAGGUAAAUUAACCCAUGUAAGUGUAUCGGUCCUCCAGAACUUUCAAAAACUUGGGGAAAAAUAUUAACAAUGGUCUCUUAAAAUGUGAAAUCCCCACACGUUUUAAAUUAGAGAAAUUAUUUGCAAAGUCAUCAUUGCUGUGUUUUGUAAUCCCUCGUAAAUGUAGAACAUAGCUCUCUUACAUCUAUUUGCCCUCAAAACUAUUUUUCUUCUUCAAAGCAAGUAAGAAUCACUUUUUUCUCAAGGAUAUCUGGGUAAAGAGAUGUGCCCUGAGUUUCUAGAUCAGCCCCCUGAAGUGUUGUUUGACACUUUGCAAGUCACUUAACUCCUUUGGAACUUCUGUCUCUCUCUGUGUAAAAUGAUACUGACCACCCACUGAACCUACGGGCAUGGAGCAGCCCUGGACACUGGAGUGUGCCAGUGCUUAGGAUGAAAGUGUCAUGUAAAUUCCAGGGAGGCAGUGUGGUCCAAUGUGGAAAGGGUUCAAUUAACCCCCAGGAGACCAAGGGGCUUUGUUUUCAAUUCAGAGGCUAAGUGACCCUGGAGACUACCUCUACUCAGAGCCUCGACUAUCUCCACAGGACAGUGUGCAGUCUCAAUCACUACUCAACUGAGUUUCAAACUUUUAUUUGUCUUGCUUAUUUCAAUUUUUUUUCUUAGUAAUUCCUCCUAUCCAUUUUCUUUUUCUAACACAUUUGAAUUUAUUUAUGUAUUUUUUUACUUAUAAAAUAUGAAAAUGGUUAUAAGAUUCCAGAACUCUUCUUGGGAAGUUAAUGAAAAUAAUAAACAGAAGUAGCAGUAACUACUUGGAGAGUUC
RNAcentral lists this long non-coding RNA (1875 nucleotides) under Felis catus (domestic cat). RNAcentral describes it as "lncRNA (ENSFCAG00000051919.1)". The record is from RNAcentral. Lineage: Eukaryota; Metazoa; Chordata; Mammalia; Carnivora; Felidae.